This 200-nucleotide long non-coding RNA is filed under the name Elaeis guineensis (African oil palm). RNAcentral's name for it is "long non-coding RNA (EGUI_LNC001051)". The record is from RNAcentral. Lineage: Eukaryota; Viridiplantae; Streptophyta; Magnoliopsida; Arecales; Arecaceae.
UGCACAAUCUUUCAAAUCCCGCGGUCAUCGAAAAUAGUUAACGAUGAGCAGAUAAGGCAAAAGACAACCUCUGGAUCAUAGACAAUCUGAUCAAAGAUAUCGGAGCAUUGCACCCAAUACGAUGAAGAUGACUCCCUAUGUUCCCAUCUCAUUGUAGCUACCAACAUCUAUCCAUAAAUACCAGCUCAUAAGAGACCCUA